RNAcentral lists this unclassified non-coding RNA (353 nucleotides) under soil metagenome. Its description in RNAcentral is "partial contains 5.8S ribosomal RNA, internal transcribed spacer 2, and large subunit ribosomal RNA". The stretch from base 5 to 122 matches the Rfam family "5.8S ribosomal RNA", at positions 38 to 154 of the family's 154-position model. The record is from RNAcentral.
GAUGGAAGAACGUAGCGAAAUGCGAUAAGUAAUGCGAAUUGCAGAAUUUCCGUGAGUCAUCGAAUCUUUGAACGCACAUUGCGCCCACUGGUAUUCCGGUGGGCAUGCCUGUUCGAGCGUCAUUAUCCUCCCUCAAAACUCCUGUUUUGGUGUUGGGCCGCGUUGGUCACCUCCGACCAACGGGCCUCAAAGACAAUGACGGCGUCCGUGGGACCCUCUUCGCAGUGAGCUUUUGUUAGCGCGCGUUGAGUUUAAAGGACCUUCCGGGCCGGCCACCUUUAUCUAUUUUACAAGGUUGACCUCGGAUCAGGUAGGAAUACCCGCUGAACUUAAGCAUAUCAAUAAGCGGAGGA